UUUCUAUAGCAGUUGACGUAAUAUUUGGUUUUCUGGAAAUAAAUAUUGUUACACGAGCACUUAAAAAAAUGUAUUUCUUCCAAAACCAUCAAGCAAAAUUUUCAACACAACAUUUUGACGUGACAACGUCUAAUAAAUCGAUGAACGCUGGCUGCACGCAGCGUGUAAAUAUUUCGAGUCCAACAGAGAAUUUCUAGUUAAAAGAAAUUCAAUUAAAUAUCGUGCGUGGAAAAUUAUUAAUUUAUACCAUCUGAAACAUUUAUUUUCAAUAUGGUCGCGUGGUCGUUUGGUUAGCGUGGAUGACCUUUCAAUCCAAAUGUUAUCGGUUCGAAUCUCGGCAGUUGCGAAUUUUUUUUGUACUUGUAAAAAUAAAUACAGCGCACGCAACAUUUCAAAAGUACUAAAUAUAUUUGAAUUAAUAAAUUCAAAUAAAAGUAAAUUUAUUAAUUAAAUUGUACAUUUAAUUUCACUCCUUUAUAUCCAUACAAAAUAGUGAUAAUUCAAUAAAAUUGAUUCAAUUUUAUUCAUAAAAGUAUGCAGAGGUAGAUUUUAUCAUACAAAAGAUAGAAAAAUUAAAAAAAAAUUUCUUCCUCAAAGAAUAUAAUAUUUUUAAUGUCUAAAUGGUUUGGUUGCAAAAACCUAUUACGGCUCAGUCACAGGCCGAAUAUAUUUCCUUUUCUUCUGGAUCAAUCAUUUCAUCAAUGUUUUGUUAUGACGUUGUCACGUUUAACUAUCGUCCGUAAACUGACUUUACAGACAAACAAUUUUUUUCUAGGAAAUGGAGAAACGUUUAGAUGAAUGUUGCUUCUGAAGAUGUUAAAAAAAUGUACAUUUUACAUAGCUGCAGUAGAACUGCCAAAAUUGUGCGUGCUUGGUUUUGAUGCAGCUUGCAUUUUGAAGAUCUUUCGACUGCACUGCGAGUGAUUUUUCUUACCCGUAGGACACUUAUGUUUGCAUUUGGUGACGCUGUAGAUUUUUGUGGAUAAAUGUUCUGUGUUGACAACCACGGAGUUCAAAGGAUAAGCCUAGGUUAGGGGGGAUAACCGAGGCACAAAGGUCGUAUUCAUAAAUUUAUCACAAUAAUUAUUAAACAUUCACAAAGCUAAGGAUAAUAUUCAAGUGUUUUUUCACUAUCUUCUUAUGCUCCUAGAUUAGAUUCCGCCAUGUUUGUAAAACAAGGCUGUGGUUAAGAUUAGCCUUCUUGUUCAAUAAAUAUUCCCGAUUCACAACAAACAUACUAAACUCUGUUUACAUGCUGUUACAAUACUUUUUGAAAGAAAAAACAAUUUUUACGUUAAAAUAUGGUAAUCGUCAUAUUUACUGAGCACCACGAGCCAAUGAUUAUAAUAUUAAAUAGUUCAUUAAAAACUAAAGUUGCACUAAAUACGUUUAGAAACAGUCUCCAGUUAAUUUAAAUUUUACUUACGUAAUCCAAGGGGAAUGAAGGAGUUCUGCAACCACCGCCGAGUGACGAUGCGCUGUUACCGACGCAGCUACUCGCCUGGUCUCGCGCCGGGUUGUGUCGGCCUCCCAGGGACGCACACAGCGCCUCGUUGACUCGCCCGUCGCUCGCCCGCCUCUACGGACCGGAGCUCAGGGAGCAGUGCCGCCUGGUCGGUCGUCGGGACGAUUCUGCAAUGGCCUCGUCUGCUUCCCGGUUGCGGCCAGAUGGUACUUGACCCAGCUAUAGUGAGCAGCCGUUGUUACUACUGGAUUCAAAUCAGCAAAACACCCUCCCCCCCUUCCCGUUUUCGUGGUGAUUCUCUUUGGAGUCGUGUCACCACAGCAGGCUGGGGUACCUUUACUCGCCCAGCGAGUAGUCACUCGCUGGAGGAGGACUCAAACCCGGACCCUCACCUCAUUUAUGGCGUUUCGGUUCACUCGUCUUGCAGCCGUCGACUCUGGCGAGCGAGUGGCUGCACGUCGCUGGCCGACUCGAACCCGUUACUCUCGUCGUUGGUGUGGACCGGCCUUUCCUGAAGGAAGCUGGGCGUUACUCGCUUUCGGUCAUCGACUCGCCCAGGGAGUUGCUUGCUUGCUACUCGUUUGUGGAGGACUCGAACCCCUGACCCACGGCCGACAUCGCAUGUUGACAGCCAUGCUCACCAGCGCCGUGUCGCCCUUUUCUAUGGCGGCGUCGGACUCGUCAUGGCUGGCUUUUUGUGGCGUCGAUCUUCGGUGUACGUCUCUUGGUGACUUCCAUUGUACUGAGUGUCUGGUCGCUCGCUCGGCGACCAUAUACAAUUGCUGAGACCAACAAAGAGAACCUUCUACUACAGACCCGGAAACUAUAACAUUCUCGUAUCCCGAGUACGUUUUCGUUACGUCACACGACCUCGCGGGAUAAUUUACUGACCUACAGUCUAGUAAGUCGCUUCUGACGCGGGUGGAGACGUAAUGGGCCGAAGUAUGCGAAACACUAAAAUUUUCCAACAAGUUAUGCUUUCUCAGAAACCAGCAUAUUGGUUAUUUUUUUGGAACGAAAGCUAAAUACUAGGUAGAUACUGUACACAUUUACAGCUAAAGCAUAUAAAGCUUGUGUUUUCAUCCUCCAGUGCAUUUAAAUAUAAUGGCAGCUGGCGGUGCAUCAGAAAAAUUCCCCCGCUCACAUUUAUAAUGAUUGCAUUAAACUGUAACGUAAGCCAUACAAUGAAGCAAAUAAAAAAAUUAUGAACGGAAUUUCAAUUAUGUGUUGAGCUGCAUUCAUUACUUAUGCAUACGCAAUUAUCUGACGUAAAUUAACAAUGAAUGUUUACAAACACUCGACGCAUCACACAGCUAAACCAGUAAAGGAAACUAUAAAUACAUUAUAAUUUGGUUGGCGCCACAUCUCAUGUUUGACGUCACAGUAGCGUUCUAUGGUUCAUGGCAACCAUUUUCGUUUUUGUUUCGCUGUCUUUGUUAUCCGUUUCAUUCCGUUUACAUAUCGUUCUUUGAUUGUUGUGAAUCCGACGUGUUAUCAUUUUCGUAAAACUUUCACUGUAGACUUGAGUUGAGACCAACUCCGUUUUACUUUAAAAUUACAGCUGUUUGGGAAUUAAGAAAACCUCCGUCAUUUUAACCACUUAAAGAAAAUUACAAAUCAUUGUUUUUUCCCCCGUCUGUAUUAAGUAAAUGAUGUAUUUUACACGUGCAGCUGAUCCUCGUUUUAUAAGUGUGAGAACAUUACUGUGUAUGCAUUGUAUUGUUUAAUAAGCUUAAUAAUAAUUUACACAGUUAUUCUUAUUAUAACUAUUUAUAGAGUUAUAAAUCACCAUUACUACUAUUAUACCUACCCUAGGUGAAGGGUGGUGAGGGGGAUGUUCACUAGAAAUUCAAGCAUUUUACUAAAAUUAGAACACUUCCUAUAUGUGACGUGUCGGAGCUGUAGCCGGCUCUAGUAACCGAGUGAUUCGCCAGGAUUCCAUAACGGGCGUGCGAUUUCAAUAUAUCGUCACCUGAGAAUUGGAGUGUUCUAAGUCCAUUGAAGUCGGAACUGAGAUAUAAGCAUUUGAAAGUUCAAAUAACUAUGAAUAUCAUGACAUAGAACAAAAUAAUAUUGGCCUUAAAUCAAGAACAAACAUUUUUGUGUUCGUAGACGUGUGUGGAUAUAGUACAAAUGAAUACUAAUAUUAAUUUCGUGUCCAUAGCAUAAAAAACCUAAAAAGUGUACAUAGAACACUCAAAUACUCAGGCGGCGAUAUAGCCUCUCCCGCUUACGACAACCCAUAGCCUUCUCGUGGCGCCAGCGUUGAUAUAACUGAUGUGGACAAUGCCGGGGUGCUUAUUCCUCUGACUUCCUCAGUGUGUCGGAACGAGUUUUCUGGUAGGUUAGUAGGAUGUGGACGGGCGACUACGCCCAAGGACGAUUCGAAAACCUAUCGGGGGGUUUUGGACAACCAAACCCUAGGUGGUGUCUCAAAGGCAUCGGGCUCACUGUGAAGAACCCGGGAUGCGUAUGGAAUAGCGAAGGGCUGUUGCUAGGGGUGGGGUCGUCCUGGUCUGGCCAACCCAGGCCCUGGAUAGGUUGUAACCUACGGGUGGGGGAUAAUCUGAGGUAAGCAAUCGAGGACGUCCAUGGUCAUUGGGCAAAUCGGGCUCUGGCAAGGCUGUAACAUUCAGUUGAGAGACAAUCUAAGGUAUGCAAUCCGAAGAUUUCCUUGGUCAUGUCGGGGCGGUCUCGCGCUGUUAACUGCUUGGGACAGCACUCUACCUAAUUAUGAAGGGUGCCAAAGGACUGAUCCCUUACUGUGAAAGUUAUCUGCUGAGGUUUCCUGUAAUGGCCCUGAAUAAGUAUUGGUGAUGGACUCGUGGUGAUAAUGGUAGUUCCUAAGCUUGGAGCACACUCAGACGAGUUCCUGCUCCAUUGGCGAGUGGAAGUGGUGAGAUACUUAAUGCUCGGGUACUAGCCUGCAUUACUAGUAGAGGUAGAUGUCCUCGGAGGAUCACGAGCAACUGGGUGACCGAGGGGUCCCAGGGAUGUGAUAGGUGUGGGCCCGUGAUGGUACUGUAGGGAACCCCGGGGGGGGGGCAAGCACCAUCGGUAACCUGGUGUAUACGGUGAAAUGGAAGUUGGUUCGGUUGCUUUGAAGUUGGAAUGGAUCUCCUCAACCUCUCGACGUAGCUGUUCAGUUGGCAGAACUAUAUUGCGAUUGGAAAUGGAUUAUCUAUUUUCCGGUUCUCGGAACCCAUGCCCAAUAUUUGGUUCUCCGAAUUUGGACAUGUAAAAUAUCCAUCCACCUCCUUUUCGGGUAUGCCCUCGCGGUAUAAGGAACCGAGGGAGUAGAUGAGCAGGCUGGUAGGUCUUGAUAGAUCUGAUGAUUCUAGAUGUAUUCUUCUUGAACCAUAAAUUCUAUCGCCUUUGAAUUUUUUGUAUAUUUUUUAAAACUGAUACUGCACCUUUUAAUUCCUAAGAUUUGAGAAAAGGGAACUUGCCUUAGGAUUUUUGUCGCAUUGCCUUGCGCUCUUGGCGGUAAAUAAUAAUUUUAUCUUUACUGCUUUCUUGUUUGUUAUCAAACUCAGCUUGAAAGACAACUGUAAAGCCAUAUAGUACACUGUUAGAAAUUACAGUAAAUUUACGGACAUUCCAACGAAGAAACACCCGUAAAUAAACUGAACGCUCUUCGUAUUUCUGUAAAACGGAAUCUCCGUAAAAUUACGGUGGUAUUAGAGAGAGAGAGAUAGCUGUGCUAUCGCCCCCCUCUCUCAUUCACCGUUUAGUACCCUCUACGCAUGCGCGUAAUUUACUUCGGCGUACUUCGGCCUACUUCGUGAACUAUCAUUUGUUUUUUUCCCCAUGCAUUCCGUGUUACCGUGUUUUGUUGCUGUUUCUUAAUUCGCAUAUAUAUGGAAUUGUUCAAGAGAUAUUCCUAGUGAUUUUAUAUUAAUUAUUGUUGAAAUUAAGUUUACUGCUUUUAAGAUUGAUAAAAUACCUGCUACAUGUAAUGAAAAAAUAGCUUAGUCUGGAAGUUGACCGUGGUCAGCCAUGUGUGGAAGAAGAAAGCAAGCAAUUUUUCGAAGUUUUAUACAAUCGGAAGAAUUUUGUGAGUCCAUGCGCAAGGGCCAUCUCCCUAAUUCUCGGAAGUUUAUCUUGUUUGUGGACAAGAAAAUGUCCCUAGAAACAUCAGACGUAGUCCAUUAUGAAGAUUAAUCCUACUGUAUAAAAAAAGCAUCAAGGAAACCCCAGAGUUGGAACUUUGAAGAAAGUGACAGAUACAAUUACUAAAAUUGUUGAAUUGUCAAAGCUGUUGGAUGAUUUGUACAUGCAGAUUUGUGUGGUGUUUCAAGAUUAUUUUUUUUUUUAAUUAUUGUGAUUAAACAAUUCUAAUAUGAAUAUUUUACAUUUAUAUUUAUUUAAAAUGUUGGCUUAUAUUAACAAUGCAUUUUGUAAAUAAAUAUUUAUAAAGGUAUAGCUCAUUUAUUUAUUUUAAUUUUUGAAAAUUUACCAGCACAUAAACAAAGGAACUAUGUGCUACGAUUAUGGUUCUUAUGUCUUACAAUGGCAUAUUCUGUACGUUAAUCAACUAGCAGUGCUGCUAAAUAUUAUGUUUUUUUGUUGUUUAAUGUUUCAAUUUUGUAACAGAAACUAUGUCUCCUAAGCAAAACUUAUUGUGGGAAUUUUUAGCAAAAAUUUUCGGGAUUUACAUAUCAUUAUAAGCUCUAUUGGUGUGUUUUUGCACUAAAAUAAUAAUAAAUACAGUAAAUGGAUAUUUAUUCAAAACUAGAUGAUUUAAGUACAAUGUAUCUAUACUUUUUAUUACUUCACAAGUUAACAUACUUUUUCAUUGUAGUAUAAACACUGGUCCUACUUCCUACAAAUAUAUAAACUUAAAAAUUUUAAGGUUCAUAUGCUUUUCAAUUGUGCUUUUUACACUUAACCAAUUUGGUUACAGUUUGAUACAUAGGUAGCCCAUAUACUGGAUUAACACAAAUGCUAUAGAGUAACUUAUCAUUAAAAGUAUCCAAAAAAACCCAUACUUUGGUACUUUUUAAUACUGUAUGCCUCAAAGUGUGUUGCUUUGUAAUGAUUUUUCACUAAUAAAAAAUUCCACCCCUCAGGGAGGGGUGAUAAGUAUCAUAAAAAUACCUCACAAUUAGGCUAAAUGAAGCAUAAGGCAAGGUUGAGUAUCCUACUAAUCUUUAAAUUAUGUAAUUUUUUGAGUUUAAAAGUUUAUAACGUAAUGAAGUCUUUGCUACUUACCUGAUUUUGAUAAAAUUUAAAACAGGAUUCGUAUCUUCUAGAUUAUAGUCUAACAAAUAAUGGAGUUAAUGUAAGAAUGUGAGUAAAUAUAAUAUUUUUAACUAUGACAUUUUAUCAUAUUUAGAUAAAGAAUACCAUUUUUUAAUUGGGAAGAAGUCAGGGCUUAGUAUAUUCUAAAUGGCUCCUUCUGACUUCUUAUACAUUCGACAAAAUAAAGAGAUUUUAUGUAACUGGAUUUUCCACACAAAACCCUCAAUAUACACUGUACAUGAUUAAAAUUCCACCUCUAAAUUGGGUUUAUAAUAGAAAAUGGUAGAAAGUAAUUUAUUUGGUGUGAAUUGUAAAAUGGCCAUUAAGUAAAACAUGUAGAGGCUUAGAGUUAUGUUUUUGCUCCAAAAGUAAGCUAUAUAGUUAUUAUAAGCACAAAAAUUAAGAGUGCUAUGUAUUUAAUUGCAUUCUAAAAUAGCAUGACUUUACUGUAAUUAUACUGGUUACAAAUUACCCAGAGAAUUUCAUAAAUUAACAUGUACUACACCAUGGAAAAUAACUUUAUCUUUGUAAAUUUUACAAGUGCUGUAAACAUAAUGGUAAAACAAUAUUUUUAUGCUACGGAGUUUGAGUAAUUUUUACAGAACUUUUGUAAAUUUGAGGAACAAUCUGUAUUUGAAUAUUACGAAGUUAUCGUAUAUUUACUGCAUUGGUUUUGAAAUUUACAAAUAAUCUUUAUUUGAAUUUCACAAUGUACUUGUAUAUUUACAGUAUUAAUUGUAAAAUUUACUAAGAAUACAUUUUUUAGUAUUACGAAGUACCGGUAUAUUUACGGCAUUGGUCGUGAAAUUUACGAAGAAUCCAUAUCUGAGAAUUACAAAGUACUAGUAUAUCUACGGCAUUGGUAGUGAAAUUUACGAAGAAUCCGUAUCUGAGUUUUACGAAGUACUAAUAUAUUUACGGCAUUGGUCGUGAAAUUUACGAAGAAUCCGUAUCUGGGUUUUACGAUGUACUAGUAUAUUUACGGCAUUGGUCGUGAAAUUUACGAAGAAUCCGUAUCUGAGUUUUACGAAGUACUGGUAUAUUUACGGCAUUGGUCGUGAAAUUUACGAAGAAUCCGUAACUGAGUUUUACGAAGUACUAGUAUAUUUACGGCAUUGGUUGUGAAAUUUACGGAGAUUUAGUUUUUUCCCCUAAUGAAGUAACCGUAAAUUUACGAAGACCACCGGAGAAUUUUUUUCCGGUACUUUUCGUAAAUUUACGGUAAAAUUUUUUAACAGUGUAGAGGACCAUAUUUUGUCACAUAAAUGAUCAUGCCAUAUGAGCAGACAUUUAUGACUUUCGACUAGGACCCAAGUAUGUUUUCUUCAGCCAGUUUGAUUUUCACGUACAUACUCUUUUAAGUUUGUGUUUUUGCCAGAUAAUAAAGGUUAUUUUUCAUUACAAAGCACUUAUUCGAAAGUAAGAAAGUAAUCACGUUGUGAGCUCUCAUUGUUUCAAAAUAUAAACGUACGUCGUCAAUAUUAUCAUUCACACUGAAGUAUUUUUAAUUUUAUAUGUGCAAUUGAUAAGAAUAAAAAUUAUAAACCCAUCCGUCACUUAGCAACUGCUUCUUUGACUGAAGUUUGAUGUGCUUCAGUCUUUUAAGAAGUACGUACACUACUAUCCAGGUAAGACUGAAAUUUUAGUUUGGAUAGAGACCUGGAAAAAUUGCGGCUUAGUAAUUUUCAGAAUAGCCUCCACAGUCCUAUGCACACUCUGAGAAAUUCACCUGUUCAUUGGCUCCAGAUUCCUUUCCAUCAACUGUGAACGAAUAGUAUAAAUACAACACAGAGGUAAGUAAAGUGGUCUGAAUUUUAGUCUAUCAAGAAAUGAAUCACCGAAUGAUUCUGGUCUCUAGUAAUUGAAUGAUGCUUCUACCCACUUGUAUAGGAAUGUAAAAAUAAAAAUAUGAAAAAUAAAAAUAUCGUCAUUUUAUUUUUGUGUGUAAUAGUUAGGCAUUUCUAGACUGAAAAUAUUAAUGUUUUAGUUUAGGAUAGUGGAUUACUUUAAUGAUUCUUGCAAAUGGGGAAGAGUGAUAAAAAAAAAUUGUAGGGACAUAACGCCUUUGCCAUAGAAAAAUCCCAAAAAUUUACAAGAAAAAUUACUAUACCAAGACACAGGAAUAUAAGCCAAAAUUAGCCGAACUCUAAUGUUAAUAAUAGACAGAAUUUGACAUCGGCUUGCUUUUGUGUGUGUUAGUUUAUUAUUUUUUCCUAGUCCAUUUUUAGGUUUUCUCUAUGACAUACAGUGAAAACCAGCAAUAGCUUAUGUCCAUACUAAUGUUUUAAAUCAGAAUGACUUUCUGUUGUUUCAAAUAACAUCUAAGAUGUGUAUCGGAAAUGUUGAAACAGUUUAUCCUAUUAAAGUAAAUGUUUACUCAGUUACAUGUUACGUUGUUUCAUUAAGCUUUUAUUUAAUGUAACGUAUGAACGUUUUCACUCUAGAGUCACUGCUAGUACUAUGUUUUGAAAAUGUUCCUUCCAGGUUGUAAAUAUUAAGGUGAAGUUAUACCUUAUCUUAUUCGAGUUUUAAGUUCACUCUUGAUUGUGUUUUUUUUUUUGUAUGGGGGAGGGUAAUGGCUUAACUUUAUUUCGUAUAAUUCCUAUAAAACAGCCAAUAUAUGACAUUAUAAACCGUUUACUACCACCAGACGAACGCCAACAGUUAAAUUAAGUUUUUUUUAACCUUUUUUCUUUUCCAACUUUCACAUCAUAACGGGUGAGAUAAAGACCUAUCCAUAUUUGGACACGUCUGAAGACCCCAGUUUUCAUUAAAGGCUUGAUUAUGUAAUGUUUUUUUGGUUGCCGUGUUCGGAAUGACGCUUCACUUAAGUUUAUGUAAUGUGAAGCCUUUUUUUUUUAGCGUGAGUCUCUCGUAGCAGUUAUCUCUAAAGUGUAAUUAUUACGUGUUAUUGCAUGUUUGGUAACGGUUUAAGACACACCCACUUAUAAUUUGGGCAACUGUUUGGUACCUAGCUAAGUGUAACGAAACUCAAUACGUAAUAUGAAGACUUUUUUCUGUCAUGUUGUACACUUACUUACGACAUUUACAUUAACUUUGCUGUCACGAUGGCAUUUUGUUGAAAAAAAGACUUUUGCUGUGGGUGGUAUUUAUAUGUAGCUUUUUUCGUUCUAUUUGGUGCUGUAGCCAAAAACGUCCAACUGGAUGGUAUAAGGUUAGUUUUUUUUUGUUUGGUUUAACUUCGCACCGUUAUGCGGUACGACCUCUAAGAUUAUAGCGGGCUCCGAACUUAGUACCGACUCAAUUUUCAUAAAUUUGAUUAAUGCCGGUGUGUUGAGAUCGAACCCAAGAACCAUGUUACGUGAGCAAGACGAGCUAGCGAGCACAGAUGAUUGGUUGAAAGUGUUGAUGUUGGUUCCCAGACUGUAUCUUCUUUAUACUUUUACAAAAGAUUCCUUUGAAAAACAAUUGCCAAUAAAUAAAUCGUAAUACUAAAAGGAAAAUAUUGUAAAUUUGUACAACACAGUCUUAUGCUUAUUUUAUCACAACUGAAAUUCGUUUUUGAAAACAAUACUAAAUAUUUCUUGUUGCGCUUACGAAAAUUGGUACAUUAUUUAAAUUUUGUUUAACAUUUGUACAAGCAUUAAUUUUUAAACUAUGAAAAAAUAUGAUUGAAUAUUUAAAAAUUUUCACUUAAUUUUUUUAUUGCCCUUAUAAUUAUGUGCGCAGUUUGUACUAUAAAAGCUAUUAAUGAAACGGUUUACAAAUAACUUAAAUAAAUGUUGUACUGGGAAAAAAACAAAGCAUAUAUUCCCGGGCAAGAAACCGACCCAGUGUCAUUGCGAACAUUUUUUUUAGCGGUACAAUUGCUAUCAUGUAAAUGUACACAUUUACAAAUACCUGUAAUUUUACAUGAUUAUUUUAGUUCCAUUUACAAACAAAACGUACAAUGUUAGUGAUGUUUAAAGUGUAUGGAGUAUAUAUUUCCCGUGCUCAGGAUAAAAUGUCUGUGUUUGUGUGCCCUUGAGCUUUGAUACUUGGAAUGGUAACAAAAUAAAAAAAUAUAUAUCUGCACUCUCUUUUGUAUACAUAGGGAAUCGUUGCUUCUGUAUCCACGACGUGUCCUUUGGACCGCAAACGAGCGAGAGACAUCCUUAAAAGUGAUUAAAAUAAUAUGCCGGGGAAGUCAGUAAUAUUUCCUAAUUAAUUGGUGUCGUGGGCUAGUGUUCUGGAGGUUUGAUAGCUAAGGGUGAGGUUGCGUGCGUGCCUGUAGUACAGAUAAUUUCAACACGCUGACUGGCUUAGUAGGUGCGUAGCGGCUUGUGGAAUUCUGUGUCAGGCAUGUUUACUGAAGCCCUAGUUAGUUUCCGGGGAAAACCCCCUCAUCACCCGAUGUUAUUGCAAUUCCCGUGGUCCAAAUACCUUAGUAAAGGCCUGAAUAAUUCACUUUUCCAAUGGCCUUCAGGAUAGAAACCACAGUCCUCUGCACUCUCUGAGAAACAUCACCUGUUUACUUGGCGAGAAGUCUUAACUUGGUGGUCUGUGAUUUGAUAAUUCCUUGGUUGAAAGAUCCUCAUUUGUCCAGAGUCCUUCCCAUGAACUGUUAACCAACAGAAAAUACAACACAGAGGUAUAUUUGUUUGAAUUUUAACUUAUCACGAUACAUAGGUAAACUCAGUGGCUGAGGUAUUCCGGGAAUUUCUGAUUAUUUCUAUGUGCAGUUUUCAAUUAUAUUUUAAGUACAUUUUAGUAUGCAAUCACCUUCUUUAAAAUUUCCAAGCAAAAAUUGGAACCUUAAAUUAAAUUAUAAUAACAAAUGUUGAUAUUUUGAAAAUACCACCCUUAGAAGGGGAGUGGAGACGGGAUCGCAUACACUAGGUAACGUCUAGUGUUCGUACGAGCGUUAAUAGUGCGGGAAGUAACUCCUGUUAGGCCUUAGCGUAGCUAAUGUUUAAUUGACCUAUUUUCACAUCCAGAGGCGUAAAUCUGUGGGAUUCAC
Long non-coding RNA from Bacillus rossius redtenbacheri, 11669 nucleotides. RefSeq lists it as uncharacterized. Lineage: Eukaryota; Metazoa; Arthropoda; Insecta; Phasmatodea; Bacillidae. The record is from RefSeq and is a predicted model, not a curated record. The transcript is spliced from 3 exons.